GCUCAAAGGGUCACUAUGAUAAAGUGAACAUAGAGGUACACCAGCCCUCUCAUUUCCUAACUCACGUAAAAU
Molecule: transfer RNA, 72 nt
Filed under: Brachygalba albogularis
Lineage: Eukaryota; Metazoa; Chordata; Aves; Piciformes; Galbulidae
Description: tRNA-Ile
Source: RNAcentral